Molecule: long non-coding RNA, 343 nt
Organism: Lepisosteus oculatus (spotted gar)
Lineage: Eukaryota; Metazoa; Chordata; Actinopteri; Semionotiformes; Lepisosteidae
Source: RefSeq, a predicted model, not a curated record
CAGACCUUCAUGGAAACAGGUAAUAUAGAUCCAGGUGUCAGCCCUCUUUCUGUGAAUGGCAGUUACAAGAGAUCUCUCAUUGGUGGAUCUUCCUUUGGGUGAUGGAUAGUGAUCUUGGACCUGUGAUCCUGGGAAGAAAUCAGACUACAGACCUGAUGGAGGCCAUUUGUGACAGUGGGCAGAUAUCCUUAAGGAUGCAGUGCCUACCAAGCAUGAACAAUAGAUAGAGAGAAAACAAUAAAACAUGUAUGUUUACUACUUUAUGCAAUUAUGAAAGCUGUCACUAGAUAAAUUAAAAUCAUCCCUGUUUGUAAUAAUUCAACCUGAAACCAUUAAAAUGUUG